Molecule: small RNA, 137 nt
Filed under: Sinorhizobium meliloti 2011
Lineage: Bacteria; Pseudomonadati; Pseudomonadota; Alphaproteobacteria; Hyphomicrobiales; Rhizobiaceae
Description: putative ncRNA
Source: RNAcentral
CUCAUUCCUGUGCUUGCCACAGGAAUGAGGAUAGAAGGAGGGACCGAUGCAGUCCCUCGAUAGGGUUCAUAGACCCGUGCGGUCAGUGAAGACGAGGGCCGGAAGUCAAGAAGCCUCCUCGGCUGUCGCGCAUCGAU